RNAcentral lists this long non-coding RNA (246 nucleotides) under Lathyrus oleraceus (garden pea). RNAcentral's name for it is "Pisum sativum (pea) long non-coding RNA (PSAT_LNC027532)". The record is from RNAcentral. Lineage: Eukaryota; Viridiplantae; Streptophyta; Magnoliopsida; Fabales; Fabaceae.
ACAAUGAUCCUUGAGGCAAUGAUAUGAUAUGAUAUGAUGCCAUGAGGGAUCUUAGGGACAAAAUUGGGAUCUUACAUUAAGCUAUCACUUGGUUGAUACUUAGGUAAUAUUCCUCUCUUGUUGGGGUUGGGGUUUUCCUCUCUUGAUGAUUUCUUUUCCCCGACGAGGUAUUACUUUGAUAAGCCUUCCUCGUUGGAUCUUUAGUUCGUUUAUUUUCUAACUGUGCGUUGGUUAUUCUCGAGUCUU